CUUGCCCACAAACAAAUCGAACGAAGAAUACGGUGAUAGCAGCCUAAUGGCGCUCCUUACCUACGGACAAGUCGAGCAAAGCGAACAAACUCCAAGUCAUCCGAACUGAAGACCUUGAUGACUAAGAAGCAGGGGUUAACCUACAAAGCUUCCCAAAGACCCCUCGCUUUUCAACAAGCAGAGCUAAGAAAGGCCGAAGUGACUAAAUUCAUGUAGAGGUAUGCACCCCCAUGUAUUUGGCAGCUUCGACUUGAUAUACUUCCUUCGUCCGAACUAACUCUAGCUCAAACUCGAAAAUAAGGGACUUAUAUUGAGAGUAAUUUCAUACUAAACAAAAAUACGAGGCAUACGAAAAUACAAAGGUACCUCAAACUCAGCCAGCUUCUUCUGAUUUGCUUAUUUCGUAUAACUUCCGAUCUAAAGUCUGAUAAGGGCUCAACCGUCUCUCUAAUCCCGAUCAAAAAAACACUUGAGCUGAUCUUAUUCGAUCAAAUAGAAAAGAUUAACUUUCAACCUCCACACAGAUCUUCAAAUUUCGUUACCACCAAAAAUAAAUGAUGACAAGAUAAAACUGAAUAAACAACAAACAAAUCUUUUCAAAUAAGAAAAAAAUAACUAUCGAAUCUCAUCAAUUAAAAUAAAACUAAAAAUCUUUAUCGAAUCUCAUCCAUAAAUAAAGACCCACAGGCAUGAAAAUGAAACCUCUUUUCUUUCCACACGUUCACUUCCUAUUUAUGCUAAAGAUUUGAUUUGUAUCAAAAAAUCUCCAUCGAAGCCGGUCGAAGAUUUUCCUUGCAGAUCCUACUGCCACCAUCCAACCAUCGCAAUCCUACAAUCGACGUUGAGCUCCAACCAACCCAACCUCGAAACAGAUUUUUGAUGAAUUCCUGCCAUAACAGAACCUAUACUUCAAAUUAAAGAUGUGUCAUAAUUUAUGUUACUUACGGAUGAUAUAAUAUUGAUUGGUAAGAAAAAAUUAAUUAUAAUAUUAAAAUUAUGGAGGAAUGUUUUAAAGGAUAAGGAUUAAAAAUCAAUAGAACAAAAGUAAAUAUACCAAAUGCAAAUUUAAUGAGACAGAAAUGAAUACUUAAUGCUAAUUAAGAUUAAUGAACUAAACAUACUACAUGAAACAAAUUAAAUAUAGUCAAAAUGAGAAUGUUAACAUGGAUAAAUGAUAAAACUAAGAAGGAUACAUUGAAAAGUCAAUAUAUUAGAUAAACUACAAAAGUUGAAGAAAUUAAAGACAAAAGUAAUGAAAUUUGAUUAAGAUAGUAAUUAGCAUAUAUAACAAAGAUUCUAGGUAGCUCGUAUAAAAAAAAAUAAUUUAGUCUAUAUUGAAGAUUAUAUAGAACGAGAAAAUUAUAAAUUAUUAUGAUGGAGGUUAUGAACUAAGAUAUGGAUAAACUUGGAAAGCCAUUAGACAUGACCUUAAAUAGAGAUACUUGGCAAAUGAAAAUCUAUAAAACCAAUCCCAAAUGAUGAUAUCCUAGAGGAUCUUGCAAAGACACAAGAACAAUGGGGAUCAACAGAAUCAAGAAAGCGCAAAGAAAUUUUGAAGGGGUCCAGUUCAUACCUAUUAUUUAUUAUCAUUAAUACCCCUCCAAUAGGUCCUCCAUUCACAAUCCAAAGCAUUAUGGUGGACCUAGACGACCCUACAAUAAUUGGAAUAUGACAAAGCUCAUGAAAAAUAAAUAAAUAUAACUAAGAAUUGGG
Molecule: long non-coding RNA, 1713 nt
Filed under: Elaeis guineensis (African oil palm)
Lineage: Eukaryota; Viridiplantae; Streptophyta; Magnoliopsida; Arecales; Arecaceae
Description: long non-coding RNA (EGUI_LNC054131)
Source: RNAcentral